Molecule: ribosomal RNA, 679 nt
Filed under: Lactiplantibacillus plantarum
Lineage: Bacteria; Bacillati; Bacillota; Bacilli; Lactobacillales; Lactobacillaceae
Description: bacterial SSU rRNA
Rfam family: Bacterial small subunit ribosomal RNA
Source: RNAcentral
UCGAACGAACUCUGGUAUUGAUUGGUGCUUGCAUUCAUGAUUUACAUUUGAGUUGAGUGGCGAACUUGGUGAGUAACACGUGGGAAACCUGCCCAGAAGCGGGGGAUAACACCUGGAAACAGAUGCUAAUACCGCAUAACAACUUGGACCGCAUGGUCCGAGUUUGAAAGAUGGCUUCGGCUAUCACUUUUGGAUGGUCCCGCGGCGUAUUAGCUAGAUGGUGGGGUAACGGCUCACCAUGGCAAUGAUACGUAGCCGACCUGAGAGGGUAAUCGGCCACAUUGGGACUGAGACACGGCCCAAACUCCUACGGGAGGCAGCAGUAGGGAAUCUUCCACAAUGGACGAAAGUCUGAUGGAGCAACGCCGCGUGAGUGAAGAAGGGUUUCGGCUCGUAAAACUCUGUUGUUAAAGAAGAACAUAUCUGAGAGUAACUGUUCAGGUAUUGACGGUAUUUAACCAGAAAGCCACGGCUAACUACGUGCCAGCAGCCGCGGUAAUACGUAGGUGGCAAGCGUUGUCCGGAUUUAUUGGGCGUAAAGCGAGCGCAGGCGGUUUUUUAAGUCUGAUGUGAAAGCCUUCGGCUCAACCGAAGAAGUGCAUCGGAAACUGGGAAACUUGAGUGCAGAAGAGGACAGUGGAACUCCAUGUGUAGCGGUGAAAUGCGUAGAUAUAUGGAA